RNA transcript from Mastomys coucha (southern multimammate mouse), 1151 nucleotides. It is a transcript of the gene named UL16-binding protein 1-like, with no coding region annotated. The transcript has a single exon. Lineage: Eukaryota; Metazoa; Chordata; Mammalia; Rodentia; Muridae. The record is from RefSeq and is a predicted model, not a curated record.
AUGUGGUUCCCCUUUCAGACAGUUACAUUGCACCUUUGGCCGCCAGGGUCUAGAGAAGAAGCUGUGGAGCUGGCUGCCAAGAUCCUUUCCUUGCCCCUGCUGUGCCUACUGUCUGUCUGUGUUCAGGGAUAGAAGAGGCUGUUUCUCUUUGCAACACCUUCAAUGUUAACAUGUCAGAAUCUGGACAAUAGAGUAAUGAAGUCCAAGGCCGAAUGAACACCCAGCCUUUGUUUCUCUACAAGGAUAACAUGUGUCAUGCCAUUGGUGCUCAGGAGAACAGCAUGAAUGCCACAAAGAUCUGUGAAAAACAGGUUGACACUCUGAAAGAUGGAUUUGAUAUUUUCAAAGGGCUGCUGCUUGACAUUUUGGAGGAGAUUAACACAAUCAGAAAGACCCUCACUCUGCAGGCUGAGAUGUGUUGCCAGUAUGAGGGAGACAAAUGUUUCAGGGAAUCCUUCCUCAAUGGAAAGAUCAUGUUACAUGUUGACACGAGCACUGGCGGCUUGGCUCAAUUCGAUCCUAGAUUCAAGAAGAUGAUAGAAAUGUGGAAAAAAGACAGGGAUAAAGCUGCCUUCUUAAACAAGACUACACAGAGGGACUGAAGGACCUGGCUUGAUGAGCUCAAGUUGCACUGGAAAGAACAUCCAGAACCUCCAGGAUUUGCCAAUACCUUGUUGAUUAUUUUAUCUACACUAGCAUCAAUAGUCUUUAUCAUAGGAUUGAUCAUUUUAAGAGUCUGUUAGUAUCAAGACACUCACGUGAAAAAAAAGAUUGAUCUGCAGUCCUCACCACUUCCUGUGUUGGAUGACUCCUUGACAUUGACGAGAUGUGUUCAGCAAAGGAAGAAGAUGAAUUUCUGACAGCAUCUCAGAAUUGUGUGCUGUUGCCUUUGGACCAGACUGGUGGGAACCCAUGAGACUAAUGGCCGACAGAGCCUCAUGCAUCAGGAAAUCAGAGUGCACUAGGCUGUUGGCAGCAGGGACUUCCUCUUGCUCUGUUCCUUUCCUUUCUCAUUCUUCCAUGAUAGUGCUGUGGAGAUCAAGCUAGGCAUGGCUCUAAAUUACUCCUCACUCUGCAAAAACAAUGACUUGCCCUGAGUGACUCCAUUUUACAAGCAGCACUUGGCUCUCUUUUAAGUGUAAUGCAGACAU